GGAAUGGCAUCUAAGACUGGUCAGCUAGAGUCUUGUAGAGGGGGGUAGAAUUCCAUGUGUAGCGGUGAAAUGCGUAGAGAUGUGGAGGAAUACCGGUGGCGAAGGCGGCCCCCUGGACAAAGACUGACGCUCAGGUGCGAAAGCGUGGGGAGCAAACAGGAUUAGAUACCCUGGUAGUCCACGCUGUAAACGAUGUCGAUUUGAAGGUUGUUCCCUUGAGGAGUGGCUUUCGGAGCUAACGCGUUAAAUCGACCGCCUGGGGAGUACGGCCGCAAGGUUAAAACUCAAAUGAAUUGACGGGGGCCCGCACAAGCGGUGGAGCAUGUGGUUUAAUUCGAUGCAACGCGAAGAACCUUACCUACUCUUGACAUCCAGAGAACUUAGCAGAGAUGCUUUGGUGCCUUCGGGAACUCUGAGACAGGUGCUGCAUGG
RNAcentral lists this ribosomal RNA (432 nucleotides) under Providencia rettgeri. RNAcentral describes it as "bacterial SSU rRNA". It matches the Rfam family "Bacterial small subunit ribosomal RNA", at positions 617 to 1048 of the family's 1533-position model. Lineage: Bacteria; Pseudomonadati; Pseudomonadota; Gammaproteobacteria; Enterobacterales; Morganellaceae. The record is from RNAcentral.